AGAGUAAUUAAUGUCCUAUAGGAGCCAGCCUCACAUGGGGUUGGCUUUAAAGGCGCAAGCCACUUGGAGAUUGGAGUAUUUUCUAUUAGCUAGUUGGCGGGAUAAUAGCCCACCAAGGCAGUGAUAGAUAGCUGGUCUAAGAGGAUGAACAGCCACAAUGGGAUUGAGAUACGGCCCAUAUUCCUACGGGAAGCAGCAGUAGGGAAUCUUCCACAAUGGGCGAAAGCCUGAUGGAGUGAUGCCAUGUGAAUGAUGAAGGUCUUUUUGAUUGUAAAGUUCUUUUAUUGGGGAAAAUGAUGAUGGUACCCAGUGAAUAAGUGACAGCAAACUAUGUGCCAGCAGCUGCGGUAAUACAUAGGUCGCGAGCGUUAUUCGGAUUUAUUGGGCGUAAAGCGAGCGCAGGCGGAUUGGUAAGUUCUGUGUUAAAUGCAGCCGCUCAACGGUUGUAUGCGCAGAAUACUGCUUUUCUAGAAUACGGUAGAAAGUUUUGGAAUUGAAUGUGGAGCGGUGGAAUGUGUAGAUAUAUUCAAGAACACCAGAGGCGAAGGCGAAAACUUAGGCCGAUAUUGACGCUUAGGCUCGAAAGUGUGGGGAGCAAAUGGGAUUAGAUACCCCAGUAGUCCACACCGUAAACGAUGGAUAUUAGAUGUUGGGACUUGAGUCUCAGCGUUGUAGCUUACGUGUUAAAUAUCCCGCCUGAGUAGUACAUAUGCAAAUAUGAAACUCAAAGGAAUUGACGGGGACCUGAACAAGUGGUGGAACAUGUUGCUUAAUUCGACAAUACACGAAAAACCUUACCAAGAUUUGACAUCCCCUGCAAAGCUUUAGAAAUAAAGUGGAGGUUAUCAGGGUGACAGGUGGUGCAUGGCUGUCGUCAGCUCGUGUCAUGAGAUGUCUGGUUAAGUCCUGAAACGAGCGCAACCCUACUCUUUAGUUAACUUUCUAAAGAGACUGAACAGUAAUGUAUAGGAAGGAUGGGAUCACGUCAAGUCAUCAUGCCCCUUAUAUCUUGGGCCGC
Molecule: ribosomal RNA, 1018 nt
Filed under: uncultured Mycoplasma sp.
Lineage: Bacteria; Bacillati; Mycoplasmatota; Mollicutes; Mycoplasmatales; Mycoplasmataceae
Description: bacterial SSU rRNA
Rfam family: Bacterial small subunit ribosomal RNA
Source: RNAcentral